AUGAGAGUAAUAUAAUAAUAUAGUUAGAUUUAGGUGGCUGAAGUGAUAUUAGUAGAUAAAUCUGGGGUAUAAGUAUAAAUAAUAAACUAGCAACUUAGUAACCAAGGAAAUGACGUAAGUUUACAUCUAUCAGAUAAUUGAGAAGAAUGGAAUUUUGUUUAUUUGGAAAAUUGAGGCAGAGCCGCGUGUCUCGAGGUGUAGAGUCAUCAUCGUCUUCUUCCUCCGAUAAAUACCUCCUCAUCUCGUCUCAAUUUCAUUCAUCACUCCCAUUCUUACUCAUCAUAUAAACUGCGCACCACCCAACAAGAGAUUGAAUAUCAAAAAAACCACAGAGAGAAGUUAAGAAUACGAGGCGGCUAGGGUUCAAUCAUCGAAGAAAAGAUGGUGACUUGACGACCUUCCCGGUGAAGUUUCAUCGAGCGGGGGUUUUACAGGCUUUAGUUCGGUGGAGAUUCCGACCCCUUUGAUUUGAUGACGAUUGCCUACUGUUAAUUUAAUAAUCUGAUUUGAGGUUUUGAGAUCGAGGAACCGUGAUCGACAUGUACUCUUGAUUGGACGAGAGACAGGUGCAGCUUGAACGAAUCAAAGGAUUUCCCGUCCGAGUAGUUACCUUGUUUAUAUUUGUAAAAUAAUGGUUCGAUUAAGUUAAGAAUGAUCGCUGUCUUGUAUUAUAAAUAUCAGCGUUUGAGCUUAUUUAUGUUAGAAUAUUGUAAUCUCAUAAGCUAGAAGCUGCUGUUGUAAAUGUCCGGAACCUUUGUACUUUACCUUGCUAGAAGUGAGGGUGUUAAUAAAUAAAUCGUACGUAUUUUUAUGAACUAUAGUUUGAUUAGUAAUUAGUAUUAUCCAUGAAAAAAAAAUAGACCGGGUAAUUUCAUAGAGUAAUUUGACAAACGCUUCAUAGAAGGCGGGCGUCACAGGUGGUAUCAGAGCUUAGGGUAGGCUCUUCCACAAAUUACGAAUUUAGCAAGUCUAGAUGCCUUUUGGAGAAUGCGUUCGACGUAGAUCCCGACUUAUUCCCUCUUUUAGUGAUUAAUAAUGAACCUACAUGCGCUAUCACAUAUGUUGAAUCUGAUUACGAUCGAGUUAGGCUACGUAGUCUUCUCAUAAGCCGUCACAAUGUUUGCUACAGUAGUCGACUGUUUUAUCUAGCAUAUGCAUUUAUGAUGUUCUCUUUAUGCAUAGUAAGAAAGCCUGUCUAUCGUAGAUAUGUGAAUAGGGGCUUUUGAAGCACAUGGUUAUAGUCAUGUGCCUCGAUAUAUGCUAUUUAUUCGAUGUAAGGUAGGUAUUAAGAGCUGAUACAUAGUAACCUCGUUAAAUUUUGUAAAUCCAACUCGUAUUCGAGUAUAUAUGAUAACUAUCAUUCAGUAAAGAUCCCUUUUCUAGGUUAUUCUAUAUAUUUUUCGUGCUCGUACGUAUACUUCUAUACUCGAUUAAUCCGAGUUAGUGUCGCGCAUAAUUGAUAUCAAGUCAAUUGACACUAACUAUAUAACCUGACCUUGUAUAACCCGACCCAGAAUGUCUUUUCUGGGGAAACUUCCCGAGAACCUAACUCAAGCAUGUUCAUUUGCACUAUCUCCGAAUCGUCAUGAAGGUUCGUCUCAUAGCCCCGAAGACGAUGAAACAAUGAUGGAACCAAAUAAUACCAAGACUCACGAAGCGACCGAAGCGCCACAAGUUCCUCGAGAGGCAGCAACGCCAGAAGUACAAUCAAUGCUAACUAUGUGGCAACAAUUUAUGCAAUUCUGUCAACAACCACCACAGACGGGCGUGCCAAUGGCCGAACAUGCGAUGCCUAUGGAGGACCAAAGGUUUGAGAGAUUUCUUCGAUUUCGACCACCGAAAUUCGUAGGCGAGCCCGAUGAUCGCAAGGCAGAAAAUUGGCUUAAUGAGUUGGAAAAGAUUUUUGAAGUUACUAACUAUUCUGACUCUCAAAAGGUUAGUUAUGCAGCUUUCCAGCUAGAAGAAACUGCACGUCAUUGGUGGCGUGUGGUGAAUCAGAAGUGGGCUCAAAACAAUACUGCUCGAACUUGGGCUAACUUCGUCCAAGAAUUCAAUGAGAAGUUCAUACCAAAAGUGGUGAAAAAUGCUAGAGAGAGGGACUUUAUGAAUCUUACUCAAGGCACAAUGACGGUGGCACAGUACGAAGCUCGUUUCAAUUAUCUAAUUCGCUAUGCUCCACACUAUAUGAACGAUGAAACUCGCAAAGUACGCAAAUUCAUUGAAGGAUUGAAAUUAGAACUUCGUUGGGCUAUAAUUUCGUCGGAUGCAACAAAUUAUAGCGCGACGAUUAAUAAGGCGAUGCAGAUCGAGUCGGAAAUGCGAGAGUUGACCCACUUUGAAGAGCGAGCGAAGAGAACUAAAUUUACAAACUUGAGAGGAAAUUCAAAUCGAAAUCCCUUUUCGGAUCCGAAAUAUCCACGAAGGGAUCAAGAACAUUUUACGAAUCGUAACCCAGUGUCAAAUCAUCAAAGCGGGGCUCCCCCUCAUCUAGCGAUGCAGAGGAAGUGUGGAUUUUGCGGACUCUCCAAUCAUGAAGAAAAUGAUUGUCGAAGGAAGAAAGGAUUGUGUGUUCUUUGUGGAAGUGCUGAUCAUAUCGCACGUGAUUGUCGUAGGAGACAAGAAUCUCUUCAUAUUCCACAAGGACAAAAAGGAAAGGCUCCAAUGGAGCAGCAAAGCAAGGCCAAAAUUCCUGCCCGCGCUUAUGCACUUGCUGGGGUGGACGAAACUGCCGAGCCAACCGCUGUCGUAGAAGGUAAUGUUUGUCUACUUGGUAAAUGCGGUAAACCUCAUUUAGUCCCGGAACAACUCAUUGUUUAUCGUAUCGUCUUUCGCAAAUGAGUUAGUUUUAGAAGGCUAACCAUUACCUUAUAAUUUUGAGGUGAGCACUGCAAUAGGCUCCAACAUACUUACUAAUAUAGUAUGUGUAGAGCUUGUGCUAUCGAGUUAGAGAGUAAAGAAGACUGUGCAAAUCUUCUAAUCAUAGGUUAUGAUCUUAUUUUGGGGAUGGAUUGGUUGCAUAAGCACCAUGCCCAAUUAGAUUGCAUAAGAAAGAAAACAUGGGAACUUAACUUCAAUUUAGUUAUAUUGCACAUCCUCAAACGGAUGGGCAAUCAAAGAGAGUGAUUGGAUUUUUGGAGGACAUGAUUGAGAGCAUGUGCCAUGGAUUAUAGAGAAAGUUACCGUUAAUCGAAUUCGCGUACUACAACACUUACCAGACGACCAUACAAGUGGGCACCAUAUGAGGCGCUAUAUGGUAGGUCGAUCUCUAUUGCAUUGGGAACUCGAUAGAUGGAGAGCAACCAAAGACGGUCGAGAAAGAGCGCUAAGGCCGGAACUAAUACAAGAUGCUAUUUUGUGCAUAUCAUCAAGCGACGGAUGAAAGCCUCACAAGAUCGGCAAUAGAGCAAUGGGCGUAGAAAGAACAUCAAGUUUGAAGUUGGCAAUAUGGUGUUUCUCAAGGUGUCGCCAAGAAAAAAAAAAGAUUUAAGCGUAUUGGAAAAGAAGGGAAUCUUAGCCCACGUUAUAUAGGACCUUUUGAAAUUUAUGAACGUAUAGGUCAUGUAGCCUAUAGGUUAAUCCUUCCACCCAAUAUUACCAAUAUUCACGAUGUAUUCCUGGUGUCUCAACUCAGAAAAUACCAUCCAAAUCCACCUCACAUGAUUUCUCAUGAAGGACUCCAACUCGUAGGCAACAUGUCAUACGAAGAACAACCGGUUCGUAUCCUCGAUAAAAAAAAAAAAAAAAAUAGAAUUUCAAGAAUUACGAAAUCGAAGGAUUCCAUUGGUGAAAGUAUUGUGAAGAAAUCACGAUAUAGAAGAGGUUACAUGGGAACGAGAAGAAGAGAUACGAAAUCACUACCCAGAACUUUUCCACACAGGUAAUUAUAUUAACAAUAAGUAAAUCUGGGGACCAGAUUUCUUUAACAGGGGGAGAGUGUAACACCCCUUAAUUUAUAUUAUGUGGUAUAAUAAUAGUUUAUAUAUGUAUAUUAUUGAAGUUUAUUCAUUAAUGAGAGUAAUAUAAUAAUAUAGUUAGAUUUAGGUGGCUGAAGUGAUAUUAGUAGAUAAAUCUGGGGUAUAAGUAUAAAUAAUAAACUAGCAACUUAGUAACCAAGGAAAUGACGUAAGUUUACAUCUAUCAGAUAAUUGAGAAGAAUGGAAUUUUGUUUAUUUGGAAAAUUGAGGCAGAGCCGCGUGUCUCGAGGUGUAGAGUCAUCAUCGUCUUCUUCCUCCGAUAAAUACCUCCUCAUCUCGUCUCAAUUUCAUUCAUCACUCCCAUUCUUACUCAUCAUAUAAACUGCGCACCACCCAACAAGAGAUUGAAUAUCAAAAAAACCACAGAGAGAAGUUAAGAAUACGAGGCGGCUAGGGUUCAAUCAUCGAAGAAAAGAUGGUGACUUGACGACCUUCCCGGUGAAGUUUCAUCGAGCGGGGGUUUUACAGGCUUUAGUUCGGUGGAGAUUCCGACCCCUUUGAUUUGAUGACGAUUGCCUACUGUUAAUUUAAUAAUCUGAUUUGAGGUUUUGAGAUCGAGGAACCGUGAUCGACAUGUACUCUUGAUUGGACGAGAGACAGGUGCAGCUUGAACGAAUCAAAGGAUUUCCCGUCCGAGUAGUUACCUUGUUUAUAUUUGUAAAAUAAUGGUUCGAUUAAGUUAAGAAUGAUCGUUGUCUUGUAUUAUAAAUAUCAGCGUUUGAGCUUAUUUAUGUUAGAAUAUUGUAAUCUCAUAAGCUAGAAGCUGUUGUUGUAAAUGUCCGGAACCUUUGUACUUUACCUUGCUAGAAGUGAGGUUGUUAAUAAAUAAAUCGUACGUAUUUUUAUGAACUA
Molecule: non-coding RNA, 4826 nt
Organism: Erythranthe guttata (spotted monkey flower)
Lineage: Eukaryota; Viridiplantae; Streptophyta; Magnoliopsida; Lamiales; Phrymaceae
Source: RefSeq, a predicted model, not a curated record